This 550-nucleotide ribosomal RNA is filed under the name uncultured compost bacterium. RNAcentral describes it as "bacterial SSU rRNA". It matches the Rfam family "Bacterial small subunit ribosomal RNA", at positions 355 to 897 of the family's 1533-position model. The record is from RNAcentral.
UAGGGAAUCUUCCACAAUGGGCGCAAGCCUGAUGGAGCAAUGCCGCGUGAAUGAUGAAGGUCUUCGGAUUGUAAAGUUCUGUUGUUAGCCAAGAACCUCCACCAACUAACUACUGGUGGACUGACGGUAGCUAACCAGAAAGCCCCGGCUAACUACGUGCCAGCAGCCGCGGUAAUACGUAGGGGGCGAGCGUUGUCCGGAAUUAUUGGGCGUAAAGGGAGCGCAGGCGGUUCGUUCAGUCUGAUGUGAAAGCCCACGGCUUAACCGUGGAAUGGCAUUGGAAACUAACGAACUUGAAUUCAGAAGAGGAAAGCGGAAUUCCAUGUGUAGUGGUGAAAUACGUAGAGAUAUGGAAGAACACCAGUGGCGAAGGCGGCUUUCUGGUCUGAAAUUGACGCUGAGGCUCGAAAGCGUGGGGAGCAAACAGGAUUAGGUACCCUGGUAGUCCACGCCGUAAACGAUGAGUGCUAAGUGUCGGGGGGUUUCCGCCCCUCGGUGCUGGAGUUCACGCAUUAAGCACUCCGCCUGGGGAGUACGGCCGCAAGGCUGA